Molecule: ribosomal RNA, 251 nt
Filed under: uncultured bacterium
Lineage: Bacteria
Description: partial 16S ribosomal RNA
Rfam family: Bacterial small subunit ribosomal RNA
Source: RNAcentral
UACGUAGGUGGCAAGCGUUGUCCGGAAUUAUUGGGCGUAAAGCGCGCGCAGGCGGUCCUUUAAGUCUGAUGUGAAAGCCCACGGCUCAACCGUGGAGGGUCAUUGGAAACUGGGGGACUUGAGUACAGAAGAGGAAAGCGGAAUUCCACGUGUAGCGGUGAAAUGCGUAGAGAUGUGGAGGAACACCAGUGGCGAAGGCGGCUUUCUGGUCUGUAACUGACGCUGAGGCGCGAAGCGUGGGGAGCAAACAG